GGAAGUGGAUAGGGCACUGGUGGCUCUCCUGGACUUCAAAUCCAGUGCGGGGCGCUGAGCGGCGUCCCGGGUGGGUUCGAUUCCCAUGCACUUCCGCCA
This 99-nucleotide transfer RNA is filed under the name Deltaproteobacteria bacterium. RNAcentral describes it as "tRNA-Sec". It matches the Rfam family "Selenocysteine transfer RNA". RNAcentral also lists the same sequence under 1 other name. Lineage: Bacteria; Pseudomonadati; Myxococcota; Myxococcia. The record is from RNAcentral.